AUUGGACGCUGGCGGAAUGCUUUACACAUGCAAGUCGAACGGCAGCACGGGGGCAACCCUGGUGGCGAGUGGCGAACGGGUGAGUAAUACAUCGGAACGUGCCCAGUCGUGGGGGAUAACGUAGCGAAAGUUACGCUAAUACCGCAUACGAUCUAUGGAUGAAAGCGGGGGACCGUAAGGCCUCGCGCGAUUGGAGCGGGCGAUGUCAGAUUAGGUAGUUGGUGGGGUAAAGGCUCACCAAGCCGACGAUCUGUAGCUGGUCUGAGAGGACGACCAGCCACACUGGGACUGAGACACGGCCCAGACUCCUACGGGAGGCAGCAGUGGGGAAUUUUGGACAAUGGGCGCAAGCCUGAUCCAGCCAUUCCGCGUGCAGGAUGAAGGCCCUCGGGUUGUAAACUGCUUUUGUACGGAACGAAACGGUCUGCUCUAAUACAGCGGGCUAAUGACGGUACCGUAAGAAUAAGCACCGGCUAACUACGUGCCAGCAGCCGCGGUAA
Molecule: ribosomal RNA, 500 nt
Filed under: uncultured bacterium
Lineage: Bacteria
Description: partial 16S ribosomal RNA
Rfam family: Bacterial small subunit ribosomal RNA
Source: RNAcentral